Cyprinus carpio (common carp) is the source of this 356-nucleotide long non-coding RNA. RefSeq lists it as uncharacterized. The transcript is spliced from 4 exons. Lineage: Eukaryota; Metazoa; Chordata; Actinopteri; Cypriniformes; Cyprinidae. The record is from RefSeq and is a predicted model, not a curated record.
CGAUGUCUGAGGCCGUUUAUGAGGAGAUUCAGCACAGACACAAUCACUUCACUCAGAGGGGGAGUCUCAUCUCUGAAGAACUGCAUUCUGGGUAUGAAGAUGCUGAUGAGCUUCUCUCAGAAGAGAUGGUGAAGGAAAUCACACCGGGAUACUAUGAUGAUGUCAUCACUGAUGGACUGAAACCAGAUCGUGAGACAGAAGACACACCUGAGAGCUAUGAUGAUGUCAUGACGAGCGGACCCAACUCUGAUAUCAAAAAAGGUGUUUUACUUUAUAAAUUUUUUAAAAAUAAUAUCACUCUACAAUCAAGAUCAUUUCAGAUAAUAUUUUAAAUUACUGCCUUAAUGGGUUUUUGG